This 404-nucleotide unclassified non-coding RNA is filed under the name soil metagenome. RNAcentral describes it as "partial contains 5.8S ribosomal RNA, internal transcribed spacer 2, and large subunit ribosomal RNA". The stretch from base 1 to 122 matches the Rfam family "5.8S ribosomal RNA", at positions 35 to 154 of the family's 154-position model. The record is from RNAcentral.
GAUGAAGAACGUAGUAAAAUGCGAUACUUGGUGUGAAUUGCAGAAUCCCGUGAACCAUCGAGUUUUUGAACGCAAGUUGCGCCCGAAGCCUUUUGGCCGAGGGCACGUCUGCCUGGGCGUCACGCAUCGCGUCGCCCCCCACAAUUCUCCGUAAAGGGAACGUGUGUUUUGGGGGCGGAUAUUGGUCUCCCGUGCUCAUGGCGUGGUUGGCCGAAAUAGGAGUCCUUUCGAUGGACGCACGAACUAGUGGUGGUCGUAAAAACCCUCGUCUUUUGUUUCGUGCUGUUGCUCGCAAGGUAAUCUCUUUAAAAACCCCAAUGUGUCGUCUCUUGACGACGCUUCGACCGCGACCCCAGGUCAGGCGGGACUACCCGCUGAGUUUAAGCAUAUCAAUAAGCGGAGGA